This 74-nucleotide transfer RNA is filed under the name Gammaproteobacteria bacterium. RNAcentral's name for it is "tRNA-Cys". It matches the Rfam family "tRNA". From Rfam's summary of the family: Transfer RNA (tRNA) molecules are approximately 80 nucleotides in length. Their secondary structure includes four short double-helical elements and three loops (D, anti-codon, and T loops). Further hydrogen bonds mediate the characteristic L-shaped molecular structure. tRNAs have two regions of fundamental functional importance: the anti-codon, which is responsible for specific mRNA codon recognition, and the 3' end, to which the tRNAs corresponding amino acid is attached (by aminoacyl-tRNA synthetases). tRNAs cope with the degeneracy of the genetic code in two manners: having more than one tRNA (with a specific anti-codon) for a particular amino acid; and 'wobble' base-pairing, i.e. permitting non-standard base-pairing at the 3rd anti-codon position. The record is from RNAcentral. Lineage: Bacteria; Pseudomonadati; Pseudomonadota; Gammaproteobacteria.
GGCCGGGUGGCAGAGUGGUUAUGCACCGGACUGCAAAUCCGUGUACGUCGGUUCGAUUCCGGCCUCGGCCUCCA